This is a non-coding RNA of Heterocephalus glaber (naked mole-rat), 1282 nucleotides long. Lineage: Eukaryota; Metazoa; Chordata; Mammalia; Rodentia; Bathyergidae. The record is from RefSeq and is a predicted model, not a curated record.
ACUUUCGCUUCUGCAGCUCUCUGGUUGGGAAUGUGCACGUGUGGAGACCCCGAGGAAGGAAGGGGCGCCUGGCAGCCACUCUGUCACCUGAGGUUGGCGCGGCACUGCCCACGGUGCUGCUCAGGCGGUUGGGGACGGGCAGACGCCUUUACCUCCGUCAGUUCAGAUCAAGGCGCCAAACCCCUCGUCCCCACCAGCCAGGCUGCAGAUGCGAAGGCAAACUUUUAAAUCCCGCAACCCCACACUGCCCGCGGUCUUCACCUUCCCCUGCACCCCACAACCCCAUGAGGGCUGGGCAUGGAACCUGGCCUGCGUGGGCAGCAGGACAUGGCACAGGCGGCUCCUUCACUCAGUAAUCUUAAAAGAAAAGGACGGUGUCGUGAGUUUUCCCCAAACUGACUCUGAGCUGUCAAGACCCAGUCAUCACCCCUCUGCCUGCCCUGCCCGAGGCGCGCUCCUGCGGGGAAGGUGAGAGAGAAGCUCUCCAGCAGCUCCGCUCAGAGUGUAGAAGUCCAAGAAAGAAACUGACACCAGGUGGAAAUCUGUUUCUACAAAAGGAAUGAAGAGUGCCAGGGAUGCUGAUUACUUCUGCAAAUACGAGGGAUUUUAUUCUCUUUAUUUCUAUUCUCAUUCACCAAGGUGAAUCUAUAAUGGAGAUUUCUCUAGAAGGCUUUCAAGAAUAGUGAUACCAUGAAAUCUGCCAUAGAAAGAUAGGAGGAAAGGACAGAGUAGCUGUCUCAGAGAUAUGGCCCUGAACACCUGAAUCUAACAAUAAUAUCUCUAUGCUACACAGUCAGAAAACUUGUACUGUACAUUUAUUCUAAUGACUAAGUUGGGUAAACCAAGAAAAUAUACAGACAUCACUCAUCAUAGAAAAUCUGCUUGAAAAGGUACUACUUUUCCAAUCCUUUUUCUAGCCACCUAUCUAUACUCACCCUUUGUUUAGCCAUAUGAAACCACUUCCCCCAGGCUGGAAGUAGGCUUCUUAUUUUAGUCCAUGUCCACGUUUCACAGCUACCACCUUUCCUUAACACCUAGCACAGGAACUGCCCCACAGCAUGCAAAUAUAGGUGGGCAGAUGGACAGACAGACCAAUCAGGUAGAUAUGUCAGAGAGAGAGAGGGGAAAAGAUGGCUGGCUGGCUGGAUGGGUAGAGAUACAAAGUUGAUGGAAAUGUUAUUCUGUGAUGUUUUAAAAUUGACGCUUUUUCAAAGAGAUGACGAGAAGGUGGAAGGGAACCUAUUAGAGAAGAGGAGGGGAUCAAAGGAUGAUAGGAAAGAGG